GUUAGGAAUCUUCCACAAUGGGGGCAACCCUGAUGGAGCAACACCGCGUGCUGGAUGAAGGCCUUCGGGUCGUACACAGCUUUUGUAUACGAAGAAUAUGACGGUAAUAUACGAAUAAGGGUCGGCUAACUACGUGCCAGCAGCCGCGGUCAUACGUAGGACCCAAGCGUUAUCCGGAGUGACUGGGCGUAAAGAGUUGCGUAGGCGGCUUAUUAAGCGAGUAGUGAAAUCUGGUGGCUCAACCAUCAACACAUUGCUCGAACUGAUAGGCUUGAGAAUGGUAGAGGUAGUUGGAAUUUCUUGUGUAGGAGUGAAAUCCGUAGAUAUAAGAAGGAACACCAAUGGCGUAGGCAGACUACUGUACCAUUUCUGACGCUGAGGCACGAAAGCGUGGGGAGCGAACCGGAUUAGAAACCCCGGUAGUC
Molecule: ribosomal RNA, 425 nt
Filed under: uncultured bacterium
Lineage: Bacteria
Description: partial 16S ribosomal RNA
Rfam family: Bacterial small subunit ribosomal RNA
Source: RNAcentral